GUUUUGGUUGUUUCCGACCGAUUGACCCUUCGUUUCCUCCUUCUUGAGCUGUUCACAUAACGAUCUGUGGCUCCUCAAAGUGGAUCGGAUUGGGCGAUACCUUCUGGAGACAACCGAUUGAGGGAGGUGUUCUUGAGCUGCCGGGAAGAGGCUAGAAGGAUGGUUAAUUGAUCAGUGAUCUCCCUGCUUGACCUCCUGUUGUGAUCCGAUUGAUUCCAAUGAGGUUGAGUGCUGUGGAUCAACAAGCACGACUGUGAGUAGUGUUUGGUCUUGCAUUGUGAUGGCGUCUGAGUGUUGGCUUGGUCUCUGUUGGCUUGCUACAUAUCUAGAAAGCUCCAUGAUUUGUGCUAAGGUAGUUCUUCUCAACGAGCAUAUCUGAGAUGGAACUUCCAUGCUACUUGCUUUUC
Molecule: long non-coding RNA, 407 nt
Organism: Zingiber officinale
Lineage: Eukaryota; Viridiplantae; Streptophyta; Magnoliopsida; Zingiberales; Zingiberaceae
Exons: 3
Source: RefSeq, a predicted model, not a curated record